GAUGAACGCUGGCGGCGUGCCUAAUACAUGCAAGUCGAGCGAACAGACGAGGAGCUUGCUCCUCUGACGUUAGCGGCGGACGGGUGAGUAACACGUGGAUAACCUACCUAUAAGACUGGGAUAACUUCGGGAAACCGGAGCUAAUACCGGAUAAUAUAUUGAACCGCAUGGUUCAAUAGUGAAAGACGGUUUUGCUGUCACUUAUAGAUGGAUCCGCGCCGCAUUAGCUAGUUGGCAAGGUAACGGCUUACCAAGGCAACGAUGCGUAGCCGACCUGAGAGGGUGAUCGGCCACACUGGAACUGAGACACGGUCCAGACUCCUACGGGAGGCAGCAGUAGGGAAUCUUCCGCAAUGGGCGAAAGCCUGGCGGAGCAACGCCGCGUGAGUGAUGAAGGUCUUCGGAUCGUAAAACUCUGUUAUUAGGGAAGAACAAAUGUGUAAGUAACUAUGCACGUCUUGACGGUACCUAAUCAGAAAGCCACGGCUAACUACGUG
This 497-nucleotide ribosomal RNA is filed under the name uncultured bacterium. RNAcentral describes it as "partial 16S ribosomal RNA". It matches the Rfam family "Bacterial small subunit ribosomal RNA", at positions 28 to 507 of the family's 1533-position model. The record is from RNAcentral.